UUGUUACUCCCUCCGUUCCAAAAUAACUGUCUCAACUUUGUAUUAGCUCUAAUACAAAGUUGUAUUAAGCUUGAGACAGUUAUUUUGGAACGGAGGGAGUAUAUU
Hordeum vulgare subsp. vulgare (domesticated barley) is the source of this 105-nucleotide non-coding RNA. Lineage: Eukaryota; Viridiplantae; Streptophyta; Magnoliopsida; Poales; Poaceae. The record is from Rfam.